GCUGAUUUUGUCAGCUGUUGAGCUGUAUUUCUCCAUUUCUUCCACGGGCCCAUGAAUUCUGGGCUUCCAAAUCCCAAGUGAAUAUCAGCCUCCAGCCGGAGCUCCCCUGUCUAGGGAUCUAAAAACUGUCUGUGCAGCCAUUUGGACCUCAGUGUGAAGUGGUGUUAAAAGGUGAAGUCCAUUCUUCAGGAGGUAAACCUCUGCCACGCGGAUCAUGCUCAGACAUUCGAUUGAAGUUUGUCCAACAGUUUCUUGCUUUGGAAGGUGUCCCUCUUGGUGGAACACACUGCAAAGAGUAGCUGACAUGUGACCACAACACAGGAGCUGCUGAAGAGGGAGUAUUACCACCUCAAACUCACGGCCACCUGGUAUUUUCAAAAGCCAGCCGAGAGAGA
Molecule: long non-coding RNA, 395 nt
Filed under: Macaca nemestrina (pig-tailed macaque)
Lineage: Eukaryota; Metazoa; Chordata; Mammalia; Primates; Cercopithecidae
Description: lncRNA (ENSMNEG00000046073.1)
Source: RNAcentral